UGGGGAAUUUUGGACAAUGGGCGCAAGCCUGAUCCAGCCAUGCCGCGUGCGGGAAGAAGGCCUUCGGGUUGUAAACCGCUUUUGUCAGGGAAGAAAUCUUCUGAGUUAAUACCUCGGGAGGAUGACGGUACCUGAAGAAUAAGCACCGGCUAACUACGUGCCAGCAGCCGCGGUAAUACGUAGGGUGCAAGCGUUAAUCGGAAUUACUGGGCGUAAAGCGUGCGCAGGCGGUUUUGUAAGACAGAGGUGAAAUCCCCGGGCUCAACCUGGGAACUGCCUUUGUGACUGCAAGGCUUGAGUGCGGCAGAGGGGGAUGGAAUUCCGCGUGUAGCAGUGAAAUGCGUAGAUAUGCGGAGGAACACCGAUGGCGAAGGCAAUCCCCUGGGCCUGCACUGACGCUCAUGCACGAAAGCGUGGGGAGCAAACAGGAUUAGAUAGCCCUGGUAGUCCACGCCCUAAAACGAUGUCAACUGGUUGUUGGGAAGGUUCCUUCUCAGUAACGUAGCUAACGCGUGAAGUUGACCGCCUGGGGAGUACGGCCGCAAGGUUG
Molecule: ribosomal RNA, 550 nt
Filed under: uncultured bacterium
Lineage: Bacteria
Description: partial 16S ribosomal RNA
Rfam family: Bacterial small subunit ribosomal RNA
Source: RNAcentral